GCCUCGGUAGCUUAGCCGGUAGAAAAUUAUGAAAAUUUACUGAUAGCACUGCCUUGGUAAGGCAGAGGUCGUGAGUUCAAAUCUCACCCGAGGCU
RNAcentral lists this transfer RNA (95 nucleotides) under archaeon. RNAcentral describes it as "tRNA-Thr". It matches the Rfam family "tRNA". Rfam says of the family: Transfer RNA (tRNA) molecules are approximately 80 nucleotides in length. The record is from RNAcentral.